Lolium rigidum is the source of this 2655-nucleotide RNA transcript. It is a transcript of the gene named DNA polymerase zeta processivity subunit-like, with no coding region annotated. The record is from RefSeq and is a predicted model, not a curated record. NCBI's taxonomy places the organism in Eukaryota, Viridiplantae, Streptophyta, Magnoliopsida, Poales, Poaceae. The transcript has 3 exons.
UAGAGGAGGUGGAGAGGGUUCUUCAAGGACUUUCAUCUCCUUCUCCCUCAAAGGCCUCCAACGGAGUACUUUGAGCGAGAUGAAGAGGGCAGCUCCUUAGUGUUGAAAUCCACGCAAUUGUCCGGUAAAUUUCUAAUGCUGACGUACGUACCCGGGACAUGCUUUGUUGUUCGAUGGAGUACCGGCUCUGCUGCAGAUGGUUUCAGUGCCGGGUCACAGUCUCCUGAAUCAUCCUAUUGCUUCAUGCUGUGACAGCUCCACUCCAUUCCGGUUCCCUCUCGUCAGCUCCAUCGAGGAUAUAGAUGUUCUUGUCUUCACGAAUGCUCAAUGGGAAGACUCGAUCCUUCUCCACUAUCAGAAAAUCUUUCUCUCAAAGUACACAUGUCCUUCCCGUCCCAAUUGCCCGCCUCACCCACCGAAAUCUCCCCGUCCUCCUCUCCUAUGCAACCGUCUCCGGUCUUCUGCUCAAGAUACCCCUUCUCCACUCCAUCCUUCGCUCACUCUCCUCGGGGCCUGUCCCAUCUCUCUCCCUCUCAUUCCUCUCCCUACUCCGCCGGUCUGGACACAUGCCCCUCGAUAACUACUCCCUUUGCGCUGCUCUUGGUACCGCCGCCCGCAUGCCCUCUGUUGUUGCUGGUGCCCAGCUCCAUGCUCUUUCCGAGAAACUCGGCCUAGGUUCUGAUACCUUUGUCCUCAACACUCUUAUCAACAUGUACUCGGCUUGUAGUUAUCCAUCUGCUGCAAGGUCAGUUCUUGAUUCUGCUCCCCAGGGGGCAUCUGAUACUGUUUCCUGGAAUACAAUCAUUGCUGGAUACGUGCGUGGUGGGCUGCCUAAGAAGGCUUUGCAGGCUUUUAGCCAAAUGGCCAAGGGGCAAGUUAGGCUGGAUGAUGUCACCUUGCUGAAUGCUCUAGUUGCUUGUGCAAAGACAUGCACUAUGGAGGUCGGAAAACUGUGUCAUGCACUACUUGUGAUGAAUGGUUUUGAGGUUAACUGUUAUAUGGGUUCCUCUUUGAUCAGUAUGUAUGCAAAGUGUGGGCUGGUUGAAGAUGCUCGCAGGGUUUUUGAUCGAAUGCCUGAGAGGAAUGUGGUUUGCUGGACCUCAAUGAUCUCCGGAUAUACACAGCUAGGUAAGUCUAAAGAGGCUGUUAAGCUAUUCAGAGACAUGCAGAUUGCUGGAAUGAAACCUGAUGACGCAACAAUUGCUACUGUUGUGUCUUCAUGUGGACAGAUGGGAGCACUGGACUUGGGAUGCUAUGUCCAUGCUUACUGUGAUGUUCAUGAUUUAGGAAAGGGCAUUUCCGCCAGAAAUUCAUUUAUUGACAUGUACUCAAAGUGUGGGGAUGUCAAAAAGGCCUACGAGAUAUUUCGUGGAAUGGUCAGGCGGGAUGGUUUUUCCUGGACGGUGAUGAUAAUGGGCUUUGCUGUGAAUGGCCUCUCUGGUGAGGCACUAGAUUUGUUUGCACAGAUGGAAGAAGAGGGUGAAAUCAUGCCAAAUGAGAUCACUUUCUUGGGUGUCUUAACUUCUUGCAGCCAUCAAGGGCUAGUUGAACAAGGAUACCAUCACUUUCAUUGCAUGUCCAAGAUUUACAGUAUUGCCCCGAGGAUUGAACACUACGGAUGCAUAGUCGAUCUCUUGGGGCGUGCAAAGCUAUUUGCAGAGGCACAACAAUUCAUUGAAGAUAUGCCUAUCGCUCCUGAUGUGGUAAUAUGGCGGUCAUUGUUGUUUGCCUGCAGAGCCUGUGGAGAGGUGGGAAUUGCAGAGUAUGCAGCGGAAAGGAUCCAAGAGUUGGAGCCAAACAUGUGUGGAGAGAAUGUUUUACUUUCUAAUGUCUAUGCUACCGCAUCAAGGUGGGUUGAUGCGAGUAAACUAAGGACAAGGAUGCACAAUAGCAGAGUGAUUAAGCGGCCUGGUUGCUCUUUCAUUGAAGUGGACGGAUAUGUGCACGAGUUCUUUUCAGGAGACGAUUCACAUUUUGAGACUGAAGCCAUAUACAACAUUCUUUUAGGGAUUAAUGCGCUGUUAGUAGCAGAGUCCUUCCUGAUGUGAAAGCUAAUACAUUUCUUACUUGUUGUUCUAUGAUCUUCUAUUUAUGAAAAGACAAAAUCUGUAGUAUGUCUACAUAUAUGCAUUUCCAUCAGAGGCUGGGAGUUUUUCUCCAGAUGUUACAGCAUCAGCCAUUUUAGGUCCCAGUUGAGUGUACACUAUUAUCCUUAUUUUAUUGGCAAUAAUGUAUGAAAAUGUUUCCUUCUGUACUGUAAACUUUGCCAGGUAAUAGUUCAAUACCCUAGAGGGUUUGCUGCGGUUAUACCAUGUCAAAAGAAAUUAGCUAUCAAUUGUAUGGAUUUACCUGUUUUUCUAUCGUGCUGUAUUUUUAUUUAGAAUCUACUAACCCAGCUCUGAUUUCUCUGUCUUUGAAUUCAGGGUAUCUUGUGCCCACUCACCUGUAUACCCUGCGAAUGUAAACCAGCAGACUGACAGGUUCAUAAACUCCAGAAUUUAGUCAUUUACCAACUGAGCAAUGGAUCGGAAGAAUCAAACUCCACAGGGGACUGGUCGAGAGGGUCAUAGUCAUCUUCUACAACAAAGAUCACAUACCGAUCGAGAAGUUUGUGUUCAAGCUUGCAGUGAGCCAAUCGUAUGGCUCAAAUAUAGA